Molecule: long non-coding RNA, 846 nt
Organism: Quercus robur (English oak)
Lineage: Eukaryota; Viridiplantae; Streptophyta; Magnoliopsida; Fagales; Fagaceae
Exons: 2
Source: RefSeq, a predicted model, not a curated record
AUAGGGCUAGUCGGUGGAACAAGAGGGUGUUUUUGUAAUUUCGCAUUUUUGGCAUAUAUUUUUUUGCAAGUGCUUGCUCUUAAUAAAAUUACAUCUAAGCUACGAUUGAAUCCAACCUUUCAUUGCUUUUUCAAUGCCAAGAACGUGAAAGAAAAGUUAAGAAUAAUGGCUAGUUCUUCCGUGGAUGCAAUCUCGGUAUUGGUAUAUGUAAUUCUAAGAAAGAGCAUAUAUGUAUAUAAGGAAUUUGCAGUAUUGAUGGUGGACUUCCUUCCAGUUAUGGUGUCAACAAUCCGAUUUUCCCGUUUCUUUUUCAGGCCAACUACGGUGGUUUCAGCCAGGUACUCUCCCAUGUCAUCCAUGGUGGCUCGACAUGAUCGGUAGUGCUAUACAAAAAGGAAAAAAAAAAAAAAAAAAAAUACCAUUGUGGUUUAUCAGUAUAGUUAUAUCAUGCUAGCAAUACCUGAGACUGAGAGUUUACUAAUUUGGAGGAACUUAGAUAUGCAUGGCGGGACUUGUUAACUCUUUUAUUUCUCAAACAUGGAUUUUGAAUCUGAAAUGUCUACCAUCAGUAUCUGUAGUUUCCAUGUCAGUUCUUGGCCAAGUUGUUUGCUCCCCGUAUAGCUGCAUGCAUUAUCAAAGAGGGUGGACAUGAAUAAUUUUUGUUUGGAAAGUUAGGACCACAUUUUACUCUAAAAUGCUUACAGGAUUGUGAUUAGUGUUAUAUCAACAAUAUAGUAAAUGAACUUUAAUUGAUUUCUUGUUUUGUGUGAAGUGUAACAUUUAUUGUAAGUUUGUUACGAACGCUGGUGUUGAAGUUGAACUACAUUAGCGUAGCAUUUUGAUCUA